CACUUUUCGACCAAUCAGAAUCCAAGAAAUUCCCAUUUUGGGCUACAAUGAGGGUUAACGUCCCACUGUUCUGCUCCGAGUUAAUGGGGACAAUUAUAAGCCAUACAGUGUGCAAUGAGGGACAUUUUGCCCGGACAGCAGCGCUACGGCAUACUCUUAUAUCGAAUUCCUACUGUCGAAGGAUCUUUUAUGCGCAAGCCAAUGUGUAAAAUGGACCUUGGUUUUCCAUCCCAUCGGAACGAUUAUAUGUUGUCCCUUGCAAGUGGGAACCAUGUCGAAAUAUCCCGAUGAACUUUCUCUGUCAACGCUGGGAUCGAGCACGGAACACCCAGAUUAACAAGUUACCGCCUUACUCACUGAGCCACCGUUGGCGGGGUUGUGAAGUUUGAUGGGACAUGUCUAGUCUUGAAAUAACUUGGAAAUUUGUGUUCGAGAAGUGUUAGAUUCAGUGCAUCAACUGUAUAGAAUACACGUCCAGCAAAUAUCCGGCAAUGCGAUCUUAGUUUUGAAAUCCCAGUGGAUUUAAUAUACUAAAAUAUCUUACACAUAGAGAAGAGAAAUAACCUGAUUUCAGGUGUUUGGUGUAUACCACCUCCUUUACCGGGUGAAUUUGAUUUACAAAACCAAACCCUGCUCAUCAAACCAAGAGCUGCUACCAGUUUCAAAUAUCGUUAUGUAGCUCAUAAUGGUGCUAUUGAUAAAAGUAGACCCGGGCAUCCUUUUGUUACUGUUGCAGCAACGUCAAGGUGUAGCGAUGCCGCACUCGAAAAGGCAGCUCUAGGAGUUAGUCUCAUGGUACGCCAUAUGCCUAAUGAUGUAUUCAGUGGGCUAACCCGAUCGCACGGUUUGGGUAUUUUUACUCAAGCCGAAAGUAUGGCCGUAUAUCCCGAGAAUGCCCACUUAGCGGAUACUCCCGCGUGCCAUGGAAAAUGUUCAGGAAGUUGUGCCCAUACAUGUACUUUUGAUGGACGUAAAUGGUCAACUAUAGGAGGAUUGACCAAUUCAAGAAGUGUGGUAGUUGAUCACAACGUUCUCUGUGACAGAUAUGAUUCCUAUCAUCACCAUGACAACAUUGUCAUUCACGAGUUCGGACAUCUUGUUAUGAGAUAUAUGCCUUCCUCAUGGAGAAACAAGAUUCAAGCCGCUUUCACCCAUGAGAAGUACACUAACCUAUGGAAACCGGGUGUAUAUGCUACUGCUAAUUCUGCUGAAUAUUGGGCAGAAGCUACCGAAGCUUUCUUUAUGGCUACUGUUAGAACAGAUGUGACUGGAGGUUUAGAUAUGUGUGGUACUUCCCAUCCAUGUUCCAAUGAACAACAAGCCCGGGCGUAUUUGAAAAGACAUGACCCACAGUUAUUUGACGUCCUGAGCUACGCGUACACUAACCACCAUCCUGAAAUUAGCAGUGGUGUCAAACUUUGUUUGUAGGACAAUAUAGAUAAUGAAGUCUAAUAAAGAAGUAAAAAGUA
This is an RNA transcript of Patella vulgata (common limpet), 1469 nucleotides long. RefSeq lists it as uncharacterized. The record is from RefSeq and is a predicted model, not a curated record. Lineage: Eukaryota; Metazoa; Mollusca; Gastropoda; Patellidae. The transcript is spliced from 7 exons.